RNAcentral lists this transfer RNA (63 nucleotides) under Harpovoluta charcoti. RNAcentral's name for it is "tRNA-Ser". Lineage: Eukaryota; Metazoa; Mollusca; Gastropoda; Neogastropoda; Volutidae. The record is from RNAcentral.
AGCUAUCCCAGGGAAAGUUUGUCUUGAAAACAAAUUUAAAGUGUUCAAUCCGCUUAAUAGCUU